Non-coding RNA from Marmota monax (woodchuck), 384 nucleotides. The record is from the annotation of a RefSeq genome assembly. Lineage: Eukaryota; Metazoa; Chordata; Mammalia; Rodentia; Sciuridae.
AUGGGCAUUGUGUCUGAAGAAGGUUUCUGGGCCCAGUCUGCUCUGACUCAGCCUCCCUCAGUCUUUGGAACUCCUGGACAGUCAGUCACCAUUUCCUUUGCUGGGACCAGCAGUGAUAUUGGGAGAUUUAAUGAUGUCUCCUGGUACCAAAAUCAUCCAGAAACAACCCAUAAACUCAUGAUUCAUAGUGUUAGUAGUCGGCCCUCAGGGAUCCCUAAUCAUUUCUCUGGCUCCAAGACUGGGGUUCCCACCCGUCCUUCACCAACGCCGGCCGGCCUGGCGCAAGUCCUUGUCUGGGCCCUGGCCCAGCCCCAGGUUGGAGAAGCCAAGGCGGCGGCGCUGGGAUCUGGAGGGUCCAUUCUUGUGAUUCUCAAUGGAGAGUGA